Molecule: ribosomal RNA, 430 nt
Filed under: bacterium
Lineage: Bacteria
Description: partial 16S ribosomal RNA
Rfam family: Bacterial small subunit ribosomal RNA
Source: RNAcentral
UGGGGAAUAUUGGACAAUGGGCGCAAGCCUGAUCCAGCCAUGCCGCGUGUGUGAAGAAGGCCUUUUGGUUGUAAAGCACUUUAAGCGAGGAGGAGGCUACUUGGAUUAAUACUCUAGGAUAGUGGACGUUACUCGCAGAAUAAGCACCGGCUAACUCUGUGCCAGCAGCCGCGGUAAUACAGAGGGUGCGAGCGUUAAUCGGAUUUACUGGGCGUAAAGCGUGCGUAGGCGGCUUCUUAAGUCGGAUGUGAAAUCCCUGAGCUUAACUUAGGAAUUGCAUUCGAUACUGGGAAGCUAGAGUAUGGGAGAGGAUGGUAGAAUUCCAGGUGUAGCGGUGAAAGGCGUAGAGAUCUGGAGGAAUACCGAUGGCGAAGGCAGCCAUCUGGCCUAAUACUGACGCUGAGGUACGAAAGCAUGGGGAGCAAACAGG